AAGUGGAGCAAUCCAUGAGUAGAGUGGCAAACGGGUGAGUAACGCGUGGGCGACCUACCUUCGAGUGGGGGAUAACCUUCCGAAAGGAGGGCUAAUACCGCAUGACAUCCCGUGUUUGGAUACACGGACAUCAAAGCCGGGGAUCGCAAGACCUGGCGCUUGGAGAGGGGCCCGCGUCCGAUUAGCUAGUUGGUGGGGUAACGGCUCACCAAGGCUCCGAUCGGUAUCCGGCCUGAGAGGGCGGACGGACACACUGGAACUGAGACACGGUCCAGACUCCUACGGGAGGCAGCAGUGGGGAAUUGUUCGCAAUGGGCGCAAGCCUGACGACGCAACGCCGCGUGGAGGAUGAAGACCUUCGGG
This 363-nucleotide ribosomal RNA is filed under the name uncultured bacterium. Its description in RNAcentral is "bacterial SSU rRNA". It matches the Rfam family "Bacterial small subunit ribosomal RNA", at positions 72 to 422 of the family's 1533-position model. The record is from RNAcentral.